This 1562-nucleotide ribosomal RNA is filed under the name metagenome. RNAcentral describes it as "bacterial LSU rRNA". It matches the Rfam family "Bacterial large subunit ribosomal RNA", at positions 1339 to 2925 of the family's 2925-position model. The record is from RNAcentral.
AUAUAUCCAAGGUUUCCAGAGUAAAGCUGAUCUGCUCUGGGUAAGUCGGGGCCUAAGGCGAGGACGAGAGUCGUAGCCGAUGGACAACAGGUGGAGAUUCCUGUACUGCGGUAUGACAGAACUGUGGGGACACGUAAGGAAAGCGGAAGCCGGGAAUGGAAAGCCCGGUGCAAGCGGGGUACCAGUCACUUUGGCAAAUCCGGGUGGCAAUGGGAAGCCGUGAUGCGGAGCGAAAUAAAAUAGCGAAGUCCGUGAGCCAUGCGUCAAGAAAAGCCGCUAUCGUUUAUACCGUACCCGUACCGUAAACCGACACAGGUGGAUGAGGAGAGAAUCCUAAGGCCGGCGGAAGAAGCAUUGUCAAGGAACUCGGCAAAAUGGCCCCGUAACUUAGGGAUAAGGGGUGCCUGGGAAACCAGGCCGCAGAGAAUAGGCUCAAGCAACUGUUUAGCAAAAACACAGGUCUAUGCGAAACCGAAAGGUGAGGUAUAUGGGCUGACGCCUGCCCGGUGCUGGAAGGUUAAGAGGAGAGGUUAGCGCAAGCGAAGCUUUGAAUUUAAGCCCCAGUAAACGGCGGCCGUAACAAUAACGGUCCUAAGGUAGCGAAAUUCCUUGUCGGGUAAGUUCCGACCCGCACGAAAGGCGUAAUGAUUUGAGCGCUGUCUCGACAAUGCAUCCGGUGAAAUUGAAGUACCAGUGAAGAUGCUGGUUACCUGCGCCAGGACGGAAAGACCCCAUGGAGCUUUACUCCAGUUUGGUACUGGGACUCGGUAUUGCAUGUACAGGAUAGGUGGGAGGCUAGGAGACAGUAACGCCAGUUAUUGUGGAGCCGCUGUUGGGAUACCACCCUUGCAGUAUUGGGUUUCUAACCAGCCGCCGUGACCCGGCGGUGGGACAAUGCCAGACGGGGAGUUUGACUGGGGCGGUCGCCUCCGAAAGGGUAUCGGAGGCGCCUAAAGGUUCCCUCAGAAUGGACGGAAACCAUUCGAAGAGUGCAAAGGCAGAAGGGAGCUUGACUGCGACACCGACGGGUGGAGCAGGUACGAAAGUAGGGCUUAGUGAUCCGGUGGUAUUAAGUGGGAAUGCCAUCGCUCAACGGAUAAAAGCUACCCCUGGGAUAACAGGCUUAUCACUCCCAAGAGUUCACAUCGACGGAGUGGUUUGGCACCUCGAUGUCGGCUCAUCGCAUCCUGGGGCUGUAGUAGGUCCCAAGGGUUGGGCUGUUCGCCCAUUAAAGCGGUACGCGAGCUGGGUUCAGAACGUCGUGAGACAGUUCGGUCCCUAUCCGGCGUGGGCGUAGGAUAUCUGAGAGGAGCUGUCCUUAGUACGAGAGGACCGGGAUGGACGGGCCGCUGGUGCAUCGGUUAGACUGCCAAGUCUACGGCCGAGUAGCCAAGCCCGGAAGGGAUAAACGCUGAAGGCAUCUAAGCGUGAAGCCCCCCUUAAGAUGAGAUAUCCCAUUCGAAAGAAGUAAACCCCCUUGAAGACGACGAGGUAGAUAGGGCAGAGGUGGAAGUGUGGCAACACAUGGAGCUGACUGUUACUAAUCGGGUGAGGGCUUGACC